Molecule: ribosomal RNA, 281 nt
Filed under: uncultured Staphylococcus sp.
Lineage: Bacteria; Bacillati; Bacillota; Bacilli; Caryophanales; Staphylococcaceae
Description: partial 16S ribosomal RNA
Rfam family: Bacterial small subunit ribosomal RNA
Source: RNAcentral
CUCCUUUGACGUUAGCGGCGGACGGGUGAGUAACACGUGGGUAACCUACCUAUAAGACUGGGAUAACUUCGGGAAACCGGAGCUAAUACCGGAUAAUAUUUCGAACCGCAUGGUUCGAUAGUGAAAGAUGGUUUUGCUAUUACUUAUAGAUGGACCCGCGCCGUAUUAGCUAGUUGGUAAGGUAACGGCUUACCAAGGCGACGAUACGUAGCCGACCUGAGAGGGUGAUCGGCCACACUGGAACUGAGACACGGUCCAAACUCCUACGGGAGGCAGCAGAU